This 253-nucleotide ribosomal RNA is filed under the name uncultured bacterium. Its description in RNAcentral is "partial 16S ribosomal RNA". It matches the Rfam family "Bacterial small subunit ribosomal RNA", at positions 524 to 776 of the family's 1533-position model. The record is from RNAcentral.
UACGUAGGGGGCAAGCGUUGUCGGGAAUCAUUGGGCGUAAAGCGCGUGUAGGCGGCCAGGUAAGUCCGUUCUGAAAGCCCGGGGCUCAACCCCGGGAGGCGGAUGGAUACUGCUUGGCUCGAGUCCGGAAGAGGCGAGUGGAAUUCCCGGUGUAGCGGUGAAAUGCGCAGAUAUCGGGAGGAACACCAAUGGCGAAGGCAGCUCGCUGGGACGGUACUGACGCUGAGACGCGAAAGCGUGGGGAGCAAACAGG